UAUGGGGGACUUUUGGGAUAGCACAGGGAAUAUGAAUGAAGAAAACAAUUUUUAAAAAUUAAAAAAAAAAAGAUUUAACAGAGCUGAGCAUCUGCUGUUUUAGCUUCUGGAUCUAGACAGCUGUGCAAUGGCUGGUCAUUUGCUUAGGUCUAGGGACAAAGAAAUAAACGACAAGGCUGGCCUUAUAAAACAAGCUCCUAAUGAAAGAGUGCACUGCAUGCUGCAGAACCAGCAACUCCUCAGGCCACGUUUUGCCAGGCAAAGGAGCAUCUUACUCCAGGCAGGUCUCCUGCCUCUCUGCCUGGCAGGGAGUCUUCUUUUGCUUACUCAGCCUUAGAUCCUGGUUUGUCUCUUCAGUCUGAUUCUAGGCUCCCGACUUCCGUUUUUCCAGACACUUAUUUAGUUCAGUCGGUUCAUAACAAUUUACUGCUAUUUCUCAGACUCCCACCCCUAUAUCAAACUGGUAUCAUGAAGGAUAGUAGCUGAAUGCUUUCACAUACCCUGGGUGAUUUUUAUAAUAAUGUGGUAGAAUUCCGUUGCCCAUCCCUGGCUUCUAAGGGUCCUUCCCAAGAGACGCUUCGGUGGAACUGUAAAGAGCAUCUGUGGAUACGCCAAGUUCCCACAAAACCUCUCAGACCAUGGAUGGGCAACGGAAGCCAUUAACAGCUAAACCCUUUUGACAGGGGCUCUGCUCUUCCACGGGCAUUUUCUUCCUUCUCACUCUCAUCAUCAGAGGCCGUGCUCUUUGUUUGCUCCUGUUCCCAAAGUUGCUAGGCCCAGUAGGAAGGGGUCUUUCUAAAUGACAGCUUUAGAUGCCACUGGAGAAGUGAAUGCCACCUGCUUUCGAGCCGAGUCCCUGCUGAGGGAUGAGGUAGCCUUCACAGAGGAGGCCAUGUUUGACCAAGUCUAUGAGCAUGUGUAGGAGGCCCACUUGGAAAAUGGUGAGGCUGUUUUCAUCAGCCUUGGGAAAACAAGGGAAGUAUGCAGAAUCUCCACUGAGCAGGAAGACGUUUGAUGUAACUAGAACUCAAAGCUGAAGGAGAGAAACUGGGAAGAGAGGCUGUGAACACCAGAGUGGAGUGACUGUGGUCUGUCCCAUUUAAGGAAAAAUAAUGAAGGUUAUUUGUUUGGGCUGCAGAGUCAUCCGAUCUUUUGUAUUUGGAGAUAGAUAACUUUCUUGUUGUCGAGAAGAUGGAGAUGAGCCAGGCUCAAGGAUGUAAUGAAGGUGUCCUGCCGGCAUUUAUACCAGUGAAGCCCAAGGGUGAUGCAAGUCGGGGCACUUAGCUGUCAGCUCUAGGAGGGCAGGGAGCGAGCAUAAGGCUCUCUGCUUCUUCUGUCCGCCUGCCUGCUUAUCCAGCGUAACAAGCCCACUUGUUGCUCCCACUGCUAGUGGAUACAUAGAAUUAUCAGGAUGUAAGUCGAUAAAAAAUUAAAUGCCCUUCAUCAUCUGCAGAGCAGCCGAAAACAACGCCCUUUUGAGGCAAAAUAAGUUUCUUCAGGGCAUGCACUUGGCAAGAGCAGGAAAAGUCAGGGUGCCUUUGUCUUACACUGGGGGAGGAGGAUUAGGUUUCACACAUGAUUUCUUUUUAAACUUACAGCUGUUAAAGUUGUGAACAGUAUUGAAAGUCCUGCAUCUAAUACCUUAUUUUAAACUAGAACAAAAAAAAUCAUAUUGCAACCUGGUCCUAUCUUAGGAGAGCUAUGAUUUAAGCUAAGCCCGUGUGCCUGGUAUUUCAGUUUCUGAAGCUGAAUGUGUAAGACUUGCCAGUCAAAAGGAAGCCAGGGGAGGCAGGAGUCGUACGUAAGGAAAGUGGCCGAUCUCUUCUAAGUCACAUGCAAAUAGGAUAUGGUAUAUCCUGGUAUACUGUCUGUGUAUAGACACAUAUUAAAAACACUCUGUGAUGCUGACACAAUGUUUAUCAAUUUUAAAUGUGUACAUUAUGAUUUAGGUAACUCAUACAAAAAUCCCUGAAUCAAUAUUUAAAAACAAAACAAAACAAACAAACAAACAAACAAACCAAAAACCCCUCACAGUCGAUUCUUUGAGAUUUUUAUUUCAAAAAGCCUCCUUUCAGAUUUAAAUGAAAUAGACAACGUUGUUUUUAUUGCUUGAAAGCACAGCGGUGCCCUUGAGAAGCGUUCAAUUACAGCGACUGUUGUCUAAUUAGGUGAAAACAACCAUCUAAGAAAGUCUAUCAUUUGCUGUAAAAGCAAGAUGUUUAUAAUCCAAGCAUCUUUCCAGAUGCUGGAGAAUUGCUGGAAAGCUGGGAGAUUAGCUUUCCACCCUGAUAGGGGUUUGAAAGAGGUCAGGAUGUGUUUUACCGUAGCGUCUAGCAAUGUGAGUUUAUUCAGACUGCUUGGCAGACAUUCCUGCACAGUCAGGCCGAAUCAAUGAAUCAACUAUUGUGGGCCAGUCCAGCUCUCAGUCGCUAAGACAUUGUUCAAGCGCACUAAGGUUUUAGUCUAUGUGGCCUAGAGAAAGGGCAAAAUGUAUUAAACCUUAAAGGGUCUCAUCUUUCUUAAAUUAGUAAUUAAAACUUUGCCCAGAGAUUUCAUUGGGAGCAGUGGAAAGUCUACCCACAGCAGGAGGAUUUUGCUUGGGAAAAAAAGUACAAGAAAAUGGCUUGCCUGUAACACCUCAGGGCAGGGGAAAAACGCACGUGUGUAGAGGAAAAUGGGAGUAUCUAAGACGUAGACUCAGCCACAGAAACGCUGAGCAGGGCUCUAAACCCUUAAAGGAAUACAGUGUAUUUACACUUAAGUUUCAAAUGAAGAUUUGCCUUCAUUUUUAUUAAACGCGGUUUAAUGAGUCUCUGUUCAUCUAUAGGCUUUCUUGGAAAUUUAGCCUAUUAUUUUCAGUUUGGCAGGGGUGAAGAAAAAAUAUUAUUAUAAGAAAGUUUUCCAACUGGUUCUUUAUGAAUAUUUGUACCUUCUUUUCCAGUGGCAAUGCAGUGGUUGGAUGCUUAAUAGAAAUGGCUAAGAGUAGAGAAACCCUGUCUCGGGAAAAA
This 3008-nucleotide long non-coding RNA is filed under the name Mus musculus (house mouse). RNAcentral's name for it is "long non-coding RNA chr3:145804261-145807269". The record is from RNAcentral. Lineage: Eukaryota; Metazoa; Chordata; Mammalia; Rodentia; Muridae.